This 253-nucleotide ribosomal RNA is filed under the name uncultured bacterium. RNAcentral's name for it is "partial 16S ribosomal RNA". It matches the Rfam family "Bacterial small subunit ribosomal RNA", at positions 524 to 776 of the family's 1533-position model. The record is from RNAcentral.
GACAGAGGUGCCAAGCGUUAGGCGGAAUCACUGGGCUUAAAGGGCGCGUAGGCGGAUUCUCAAGUCCGGGGUGAAAUCCCACAGCUCAACUGUGGAACUGCCUCGGAUACUGGGAGUCUCGAGGGUGGUAGGGGUAUGCGGAACUAUCGGUGGAGCGGUGAAAUGCGUUGAUAUCGAUAGGAACUCCGGUGGCGAAGGCGGCAUACUGGACCACAACUGACGCUGAGGCGCGAAAGCCAGGGGAGCGAACGGG